AUACUCAUUUUCAGGUCUAAGUCUAGAAAUAUUGCCUGUACAUUUUUAUGACAUUGUUUUCGUUUGUUUCUAAACUCCGUUACCCACUAGUCAGCAGCAGGCGAUGUGAGUCUUUCAGGUGGCGCUUCUUGGGUGACGUAUAAUCUAGUGGACGGGACACAUCUUCAACAACAACAACAACAAAGCUACCGAUUCAAAACCCCUUCGGCAGCUUGCUAGCCAACAUAUAACCGAAACAUUGAAGUUCUUUUUAAACACAAUCCUGUUAACGUAUAUACCAGUUAACUUAAAAGUAAUUUGCUUGUUCAAUUUGUUGACAUUUUUACUCAGCCCAGCACUAAGCUAGUCGCUAAUGCAAACUAGCUAACAACCCCAACCAUGACCUCACUAAACUACUCCUCCCCUGCUAAAGAAGAUGAUGUCUGCUGGGCGGAGAGAGAAGCUCUGGGGCUGAACAUUGUCGUGAAAGAGGAGGAUAUUACAGUAAAAGGAGAGGAAGAAGCUUCCAGAACGAUAAAGGAGGAAGAUCAUGUUACAUUUGGAGUGGAAGAGGGGAUAGAGGCUGUCACAGUGGAAGAGGAAGAGGGGAAAGAGGCUGUCACAGUGGAAGAGGGGAUAGAGGCUGUCACAGUGGAAGAGGAAGAGGGGAUAGAGGCUGUCACAGUGGAAGAGGAGUGGGUAGAAGAUUUCAGAAUAAAAAAGGAAGAGGAGGAGGAUGUUAUAGUGAAAGAAGAGGAAGAACCUUCUAGCGUGGAAGAGGAGGCUAUCUCAAUAAAAGAGGAGGAAGACGUUUUGGGAGUGAAAGAGGAGGAGGAGACUGAUUCUGAUCUGAUUAACACCAGUAAAAGCAGAGAGGAAGUGUGUCUCAGAAACACGAGGUAAGCAGAGAGGAAGUGCGUCUCAGAAACACGAGGACAGAGACCACACUCUCACUCUGACAGCAGAAAGAGUACUUCAGGGGAACAAGACCUAGAGACGCCCAAACCAGUGAGACCACACCAGUGUCCCCACUGUGUAAAGAGUUUUAAGUGGUUAUGUUACCUAAAAGAACAUGAAAGAAUACACACAGGAGAAAAGCCUUUCCAUUGUUCCCAAUGUGAUAAAAGUUUUACCCAAUUAGGGAGCCUGAAAAUACACGAGAGAUCACACACAAG
Oncorhynchus nerka (sockeye salmon) is the source of this 1154-nucleotide long non-coding RNA. RefSeq lists it as uncharacterized. Lineage: Eukaryota; Metazoa; Chordata; Actinopteri; Salmoniformes; Salmonidae. The record is from RefSeq and is a predicted model, not a curated record. The transcript has 3 exons.